GACGAACGCUGGCGGCGUGCUUAACACAUGCAAGUCGAACGGAAAGGCCCUGCUUUUGUGGGGUGCUCGAGUGGCGAACGGGUGAGUAACACGUGAGUAACCUGCCCUUGACUUUGGGAUAACUUCAGGAAACGGGGGCUAAUACCGGAUAGGAGCUCCUGCUGCAGGGGGGGGGUGGGAAGGUUUCGGCGGUUGGGGAUGGACUCGCGGCUUAUCAGCUUGUUGGUGGGGUAGUGGCUUACCAAGGCUUUGACGGGUAGCCGGCCUGAGAGGGUGACCGGCCACAUUGGGACUGAGAUACGGCCCAGACUCCUACGGGAGGCAGCAGUGGGGAAUAUUGCACAAUGGGCGGAAGCCUGAUGCAGCAACGCCGCGUGCGGGAUGACGGCCUUCGGGUUGUAAACCGCUUUCGCCUGUGACGAAGCGUGAGUGACGGUAAUGGGUAAAGAAGCACCGGCUAACUACGUG
This 468-nucleotide ribosomal RNA is filed under the name uncultured bacterium. Its description in RNAcentral is "partial 16S ribosomal RNA". It matches the Rfam family "Bacterial small subunit ribosomal RNA", at positions 28 to 507 of the family's 1533-position model. The record is from RNAcentral.